This 28-nucleotide non-coding RNA is filed under the name Mus musculus (house mouse). Lineage: Eukaryota; Metazoa; Chordata; Mammalia; Rodentia; Muridae. The record is from RNAcentral.
UGAGAUGUCUGGUGUAAUUCUAAUAGUC